UACGAAGGGGGCUAGCGUUGUUCGGAAUCACUGGGCGUAAAGCGCACGUAGGCGGAUGUGUCAGUCAGGGGUGAAAUCCCGGAGCUCAACUUCGGAACUGCCUCUGAUACAGCACAUCUUGAGUUCGAGAGAGGUGGGUGGAAUUCCUAGUGUAGAGGUGAAGUUCGUAGAUAUUAGGAAGAACACCGGUGGCGAAGGCGGCCCACUGGCUCGAUACUGACGCUGAGGUGCGAAAGCGUGGGGAUCAAACAGGAUUAGAAA
RNAcentral lists this ribosomal RNA (261 nucleotides) under uncultured bacterium. RNAcentral's name for it is "partial 16S ribosomal RNA". It matches the Rfam family "Bacterial small subunit ribosomal RNA", at positions 524 to 784 of the family's 1533-position model. The record is from RNAcentral.